UAACUUCUUAGAUUAGAACUUGGGGUAUGGG
RNAcentral lists this non-coding RNA (31 nucleotides) under Mus musculus (house mouse). Lineage: Eukaryota; Metazoa; Chordata; Mammalia; Rodentia; Muridae. The record is from RNAcentral.